RNAcentral lists this ribosomal RNA (373 nucleotides) under Acinetobacter baumannii. Its description in RNAcentral is "partial 23S ribosomal RNA". It matches the Rfam family "Bacterial large subunit ribosomal RNA", at positions 590 to 960 of the family's 2925-position model. Lineage: Bacteria; Pseudomonadati; Pseudomonadota; Gammaproteobacteria; Moraxellales; Moraxellaceae. The record is from RNAcentral.
UGGGUGAUAGCGUGCCUUUUGUAGAAUGAACCGGCGAGUUACGAUUACGUGCGAGGUUAAGUUGAGAAGACGGAGCCGCAGCGAAAGCGAGUCUGAAUAGGGCGAAUUAGUACGUGGUCGUAGACCCGAAACCAGGUGAUCUACCCAUGUCCAGGAGGAAGGUGAGGUAACACUUACUGGAGGCCCGAACCCACGCACGUUGAAAAGUGCGGGGAUGAGGUGUGGGUAGCGGAGAAAUUCCAAUCGAACUUGGAGAUAGCUGGUUCUCUCCGAAAUAGCUUUAGGGCUAGCCUCGUGAUUAAGAAUACUGGAGGUAGAGCACUGUUUGGACUAGGGGGGCAUCUCGCUUUACCGAAUUCAGACAAACUCCGAA